GAUGAACGCUAGCUACAGGCUUAACACAUGCAAGUCGAACGAGUGGCGGACGGGUGAGGAAUACAUCGGAAUCUACUCUGUCGUGGGGGAUAACGUAGGGAAACUUACGCUAAUACCGCAUACGAUUGAAUGAGCCGAUGUCGGAUUAGCUAGUUGGCGGGGUAAAGGCCCACCAAGGCGACGAUCCGUAGCUGGUCUGAGAGGAUGAUCAGCCACACUGGAACUGAGACACGGUCCAGACUCCUACGGGAGGCAGCAGUGGGGAAUAGUGGACAAUGGGCGCAAGCCUGAUCCAGCCAUGCCGCGUGGGUGAAGAAGGCCUUCGGGUUGUAAAGCCCUUUUGUUGGGAAAGCGGUACCCAAAGAAUAAGCACCGGCUAACUUCGUGCCAGCAGCCGCGGUAAUUC
Molecule: ribosomal RNA, 406 nt
Filed under: uncultured bacterium
Lineage: Bacteria
Description: partial 16S ribosomal RNA
Rfam family: Bacterial small subunit ribosomal RNA
Source: RNAcentral